GUUCAGCUGCACAUAUACUAAAAUUGGAAGUAUACAGAAGAUUAGCAUGGCCCCUGCUCAAGGAUAUCUCACAAAGAAUAAUGCGUAUGUCAAAGAUAC
This 99-nucleotide small nuclear RNA is filed under the name Suricata suricatta (meerkat). Lineage: Eukaryota; Metazoa; Chordata; Mammalia; Carnivora; Herpestidae. The record is from RNAcentral.